CACCAACAGGUCUCAUCUCCCUGCUGUUCCAAGACCCCUACUAGACUGAGCCAGAAGGAACUUUCAGAAGAGUGAAGAGCUGAGCCACUGUGAAGUCUAGCAGCUCCUAUGAAGGUGGCAUCACAUGGAUCUUCGACCGUGGGGACUGUUAGCCACUUCUAUUUUUCUCCCAGAUCCAAUUCACAGUGCUUCUGUAAUUUUCUAAAUGGCAACCUGAUAAUGUAAGAGCAUCUUUGUGAACUCCAAGAGGGUCUUAACAUGUUUUUCAAUUAUUUUCCUUUCAUUUUCAAAAUGAAAUAACAGACACUAAAAGAAAAACAUCAUGAGUAAAGAUUUAUUUUCCAUUCCUACUCUAUAGCCUUGAAUGAGUGUCUUGAUAAUGUUUUGCACUGGGUUCCACAUCUAUAAAACAAGGACAAAAUGAUCUUUUCUCCUAUGUCAUUGUGAUUCUUUAUACAUGAAGUAUUAUCAUUAGUGUUAAAUCUAUCAUGAUAGUUAGCAUAAAAUAAUCAUUUAUUAAUUAUAA
This 526-nucleotide long non-coding RNA is filed under the name Marmota monax (woodchuck). Lineage: Eukaryota; Metazoa; Chordata; Mammalia; Rodentia; Sciuridae. The record is from RNAcentral.